This 1246-nucleotide ribosomal RNA is filed under the name Faecalibacterium prausnitzii. RNAcentral describes it as "bacterial SSU rRNA". It matches the Rfam family "Bacterial small subunit ribosomal RNA", at positions 262 to 1533 of the family's 1533-position model. Lineage: Bacteria; Bacillati; Bacillota; Clostridia; Eubacteriales; Oscillospiraceae. The record is from RNAcentral.
GGCCCACCAAGGCGACGAUCGGUAGCCGGACUGAGAGGUUGAACGGCCACAUUGGGACUGAGACACGGCCCAGACUCCUACGGGAGGCAGCAGUGGGGAAUAUUGCACAAUGGGGGAAACCCUGAUGCAGCGACGCCGCGUGGAGGAAGAAGGUCUUCGGAUUGUAAACUCCUGUUGUUGAGGAAGAUAAUGACGGUACUCAACAAGGAAGUGACGGCUAACUACGUGCCAGCAGCCGCGGUAAAACGUAGGUCACAAGCGUUGUCCGGAAUUACUGGGUGUAAAGGGAGCGCAGGCGGGAAGACAAGUUGGAAGUGAAAUCCAUGGGCUCAACCCAUGAACUGCUUUCAAAACUGUUUUUCUUGAGUAGUGCAGAGGUAGGCGGAAUUCCCGGUGUAGCGGUGGAAUGCGUAGAUAUCGGGAGGAACACCAGUGGCGAAGGCGGCCUACUGGGCACCAACUGACGCUGAGGCUCGAAAGUGUGGGUAGCAAACAGGAUUAGAUACCCUGGUAGUCCACACUGUAAACGAUGAUUACUAGGUGUUGGAGGAUUGACCCCUUCAGUGCCGCAGUUAACACAAUAAGUAAUCCACCUGGGGAGUACGACCGCAAGGUUGAAACUCAAAGGAAUUGACGGGGGCCCGCACAAGCAGUGGAGUAUGUGGUUUAAUUCGACGCAACGCGAAGAACCUUACCAAGUCUUGACAUCCUGCGACGCACAUAGAAAUAUGUGUUUCCUUCGGGACGCAGAGACAGGUGGUGCAUGGUUGUCGUCAGCUCGUGUCGUGAGAUGUUGGGUUAAGUCCCGCAACGAGCGCAACCCUUAUGGUCAGUUACUACGCAAGAGGACUCUGGCCAGACUGCCGUUGACAAAACGGAGGAAGGUGGGGAUGACGUCAAAUCAUCAUGCCCUUUAUGACUUGGGCUACACACGUACUACAAUGGCGUUAAACAAAGAGAAGCAAGACCGCGAGGUGGAGCAAAACUCAGAAACAACGUCCCAGUUCGGACUGCAGGCUGCAACUCGCCUGCACGAAGUCGGAAUUGCUAGUAAUCGCAGAUCAGCAUGCUGCGGUGAAUACGUUCCCGGGCCUUGUACACACCGCCCGUCACACCAUGAGAGCCGGGGGGACCCGAAGUCGGUAGUCUAACCGCAAGGAGGACGCCGCCGAAGGUAAAACUGGUGAUUGGGGUGAAGUCGUAACAAGGUAGCCGUAGGAGAACCUGCGGCUGGAUCACCUCCUUU